GAUGAACGCUGGCGGCGUGCCUAAUACAUGCAAGUCGAGCGAACAGACGAGGAGCUUGCUCUUCUGACGUUAGCGGCGGACGGGUGAGUAACACGUGGAUAACCUACCUAUAUUACUGGGAUAACUUCGGGAAACCGGAGCUAAUACCGGAUAAUAUAUUGAACCGCAUGGUUCAAUAGUGAAUGACGGUUUUGCUGUCACUUAUAGCUGAAUCCGGGCCGGAUUAGCUAGUUGGUAAGGUAACGGCUUACCAAGGCAACGAUGCGUAGCCGACCUGAGAGGGUGAUCGGCCACACUGGAACUGAGACACGGUCCAGACUCCUACGGGAGGCAGCAGUAGGGAAUCUUCCGCAAUGGGCGAAAGCUUGACGGAGCAACGCCGCGUGAGUGAUGAAGGUCUUCGGAUCGUAAAACUCUGUUAUUAGGGAAGAACAAAUGUGUAAGUAACUAUGGACGUCUUGACGGUACCUAAUCAGAAAGCCACGGCUAACUACGUG
This 497-nucleotide ribosomal RNA is filed under the name uncultured bacterium. RNAcentral describes it as "partial 16S ribosomal RNA". It matches the Rfam family "Bacterial small subunit ribosomal RNA", at positions 28 to 507 of the family's 1533-position model. The record is from RNAcentral.